RNAcentral lists this ribosomal RNA (406 nucleotides) under uncultured bacterium. Its description in RNAcentral is "partial 16S ribosomal RNA". It matches the Rfam family "Bacterial small subunit ribosomal RNA", at positions 29 to 526 of the family's 1533-position model. The record is from RNAcentral.
AUUGAACGCUGGCGGCAGGCCUAACACAUGCAAGUCGAACGAGUGGCGGACGGGUGAGUAAUGUCUGGGAAACUGCCUGACGGCGGGGGAUAACUACUGGAAACGGUAGCUAAUACCGCAUACCAUCAGAUGUGCCCAGAUGGGUUUAGCUUGUUGGUGGGGUAACGGCUCACCAAGGCGACGAUCCCUAGCUGGUCGGAGAGGAUGACCGGCCGCACUGGAACUGAGAGACGGGCCAGGCGCCCACGGGAGGCAACGGUGGGGAAAAUUGCACAAUGGGCGCAAUCCUGGAGCAGCCAUGGCGCGUGUAUGGAGGAGGCCUUCGGGUUGUAAAGUACUUACAGCGGGGAGGCGUUACCCGCAGAAGAAGCACCGGCUAACUCCGUGCCAGCAGCCGCGGUAAUAC